This 214-nucleotide unclassified non-coding RNA is filed under the name Glomus sp. RNAcentral describes it as "partial contains 5.8S ribosomal RNA and internal transcribed spacer 2". The stretch from base 1 to 65 matches the Rfam family "5.8S ribosomal RNA", at positions 84 to 154 of the family's 154-position model. The record is from RNAcentral. Lineage: Eukaryota; Fungi; Glomeromycota; Glomeromycetes; Glomerales; Glomeraceae.
GUGAAUCAUCGAAUUUUUGAACGCAAAUUGCACUCUCUUCGGAGAGUAUGCCUGUUUGAGGGUCAGCCUAAAAAAAAUCGACAUAGUCGCCGUUUCGCGGUGACAUUCGUCGGAAAUUGGGUCAUCUUAAACCUUUGGGUUCUAAGUGGCUUAAAAUUUUCUUUACGAUUCUACGAAGGUUCCUAAGAUUUAUUUCUUAUACGUUUACGGUAGU